GGCCCGUCUGGUUGCUAAAGGGUAUACUUAGACUUAUGGUGUUUAUUACUUUGAGACAUUCUCGCCGGUUGCCAGACUGAAUUUUGUUUGCCUUCUUAUUUCUCUUGUUGUCAACCUUGAUUGACCGUUGUUUCAGUUGGACAUCAAGAGUGCAUUUUUGUAUGGUGAUCUACAGGAGGUGUAUAAGGAGUAACCUCCCGGUUAUGUUGCUUAGGGGGAGAGUACAAGUCGUGUGUGUCGCUUGUACAAGGCUAUUUAUGGACUUAAAUAGUCCCCUCGAGCAUGGUUUGACAAGUUCAGUGCCACCAUUGUAACGUGUGAUUUUUCUUAGUGCUAUUAUGACCAUUCUGUCUUUGUUCGUCAUAGAGGUGACAAGCUGGUGGUCUUGGUAGUAUAUGUUGAUGACAUUAUUCUUACUGGUAAUGAUGAUGCAGGUAUUUCUGAAGUAAAGGCUCAUCUCCAACGCCAUUUUCAGACCAAGAAUCUUGGUCAUCUCCAUUAUUUUCUCUGGAUUGAGGUGAUCCGCUACAAGAAAGGGAUCAGUCUGUCUCAAAGAAAGAUUGCAUCAGUACAGGAGUUUGAUUGACAAGCUGAUUUACCUCAUUGUGACUUGUCUUGAUAUUUCUUAUGCUGUUGGAGUUCUUAGUCAGUUCAUGCAGUCUCCUCAGAAAGCCCAUUGGGAUGCUGCUGUCCGUAUUCUUCGCUAUCUAAAAGGUGCCCCUGAAAAAGGGUUGAUUUAUCAUCCUAAUCGGCAUAUGGAACUAGUUGGCUACUCUGAUACUGAUUGGGCUGGCUCUACUAGUGAUCAGAGAUCUACUACUGGAUAUUGUACCUUUGUUGGAGGCAAUCUUAUUACUUAGCGUAGCAAGAAACAGACUACUAUUCCCUGGUCUAGUGCAGAAGCAGAAUACAAAGCUAUGGUUCAUACCACUGCAGAGUUGAUGUGGCUACGAUCAUUACUCUUGGAGUUGGGAUUUCCAAUGACCAAGCUGAUAAAGAUGUAUUGUGACAACCAAGCUGCAGUGUAUAUUACUAGUAAUCCGAUUUUCCACUAGAGGACCAAACACAUAGAAGUGAACUGCCAUUUUGUUCGUGAUGCUGUUCUAAAGAAGCUGAUUGAGACUCCGUUUGUUCCUUCAACAGAUCAGUUAGCUGACAUGUUUACUAAGUCCUUGUUUGCUCAUAGUUUUCGCAGUGGUUGUGCCAAGUUGAGCAUGGGAGAUGUGUAUGCUCCAGCUUGAGGGGUAGUGUUGAGAUUAUAGAAGUCGAGAGACGCUAAUCCCGAUACUGGGAUUAAUUGUAAUUCCCAGGGCGAUAGGGGCAUUCUUGUCCUAUUGGCCCCAGUUAUGGUCUUUAGGGAUAUGGUUAUGUUGGGGAUUACUAUUGUAACCUUCUUUUUUUCUAUUUUUGCUAUAUAUACAUACAGAGGACCUGCGAUCAGCCCAUUCUGGACAGAUCGCAGGUUGCUUUCCCUUUAUGAGACUA
Macadamia integrifolia is the source of this 1485-nucleotide long non-coding RNA. RefSeq lists it as uncharacterized. The record is from RefSeq and is a predicted model, not a curated record. The transcript is spliced from 2 exons. Lineage: Eukaryota; Viridiplantae; Streptophyta; Magnoliopsida; Proteales; Proteaceae.